Alligator mississippiensis (American alligator) is the source of this 4679-nucleotide long non-coding RNA. RefSeq lists it as uncharacterized. NCBI's taxonomy places the organism in Eukaryota, Metazoa, Chordata, Crocodylia, Alligatoridae. The record is from RefSeq and is a predicted model, not a curated record. The transcript has 3 exons.
ACUAAUUGCCUGAAGGAGCCUGAGGCAGGGAGAAGCAGUACUUUGCAGUUGGCGCUCUCAGGUUGUUCUUUGAGGGAUUUGUGAGGCGCCUGCCGUGCAUGUGCAAUCUGCUGAGGAGGGACAGGACGGUCGUGGAGUGCCCCCAGCAGAAAAGGUGGACAAUAAGAUUGGAAAUGCAGAUUAUCGAGUACCGGUGGAGCACGUGCCCUAUCGAGAAGAUUCCUCCGAGGAAUCCGCUUGCUGCUCGUGUCUGCAGGCGGUCUCCUAAGGGUCCUCUGUGCAGUGUGCGCGGGAGGUGAUGAGCAUACAUGGCUGUGUCAAAAUGCAGGCGCAGAAGACAAAGUUGCCUUCUCCUUUCCAGACAUGCUGUAGACGAACAGAAAUGUUCUGGACCACCUGAAAUUCUUGCGCUAUUACUAAUACUUGACUAGCAUUGGCAGCAGUUGGCGGAGCUUGCUUCCAUCCUGGCUGAAGGCCUCAGGAAGACACCAAGGACUGGUUGCAGGAGGAAGAUUGGGCUCUCAAGUCCAAGCUGCAGUUUCUGCAGUUGGUAGCCCUGAUUCUCUAAACCAGGAAUGGAAGAUGAAUUUGCAUGGACUAUUCUCAGUGGAGGGAGAUUAAACCAUGUGCUGAGUUUAUACCUGAAACGUUAUUCAAGAAAAAACUUUGAUGCCCGAGGGUGGGAAGAAAACUCCAGCACCAAUAAAUAAUUUGGGAGGAAUGACGGACAAAUUGAAUGAAAGGCACUGAAAUAUUAGAAAAGAAUUCAUAAACUGUGUCUCUUGCCAGGCUCCUUUUGCAAUGCGAGAUGUUGGCUCUGUUGUCUCCGCCGUGUUCAUGCUGCAUAAAUAUUUAUGGUUUGUAAUGCAGAGGUUUGUCACAUGUAAUUACGUGAAGCUAACAUGAUGCUGUCUGUAGGUGACUUGCUGCACCGGAAAACACUGACAAAUGAUACUUUGCUCCAGGAAAAUAGGUGUUAGUGGUGCUUUGUGACUAGCUAGAGGACUAGAAAGCUCCCAGUGCAGAGAGUUGUUCCUCCCUCCCAUGGUACUUGCAGAGGGGGUGAUCCAGGUACUGGUUAACUUCUAUCUGAUGGUUUUCAGAGAGUGCAGGUGAUUGCCCAUCUGCGUGCCUCAGUACUGACCAAAGAGACUGAUGGGCUGAGACCCUAGUUCAAUCCCCAUGGGUUUAGCCCUUUGCUGACCUUGCCUACAAGGAGCCCACUUAGUGCCAGGGGUUUAGCUCACAGCAAACAGUCUCCCUGAAACCACCAAAUACGCACCUCUUGGCCACUCUCUGAGUUUGAACUUGCAGUUUAGAGGUGAAAGGCUCCUUACCCCAUCAGCAGUCAGAGCAGUCAGUCAAGCCUGGGCCCAUCUCAGACCAUGUGUUGUCCUGAAGGUAUCUCGUUACAUCCUGGGGGGCAGGAACUGCCCUGCUUCCUGCAUUUAGUGCCAAGUAGCCAUGGUGGCAUCAGACUGCCAGUCCCUCCACAAAGACAAAGCCGCACAUAUAGUCCUAUGUUUUUCUCCUCGACUUUCUCCAAGGGGCCAUUUCACAUUAGCAACCUGCUCCUCCUGCAAGUGAGAACCAAUACCAAUGGAAGAUGAUGCUAAUACAGCCCGCUGAGGUGUUGCUAACGGGCUUUCUUGCAUAUGUACUGGCCUCUAGUUGUUUUACCACUCCAUCCAGGAAGAGCACAGACCAUCUGCAGACGCUUCUUCAGCCUGAUAAAGGGCAUUUGUGCUCGAAAGCUUGCUAAGAAGAAUUUUUCCAACUCUGAGCUGGUCUAAUAAAAAGUAUUGAUUGGAUUUACCCGAAGAACCUUGUCUGCUAAUGGGAUGAGGCUGUUGCAUUUUGUCAGUGCAGGGGAAACCAUUCCUGCCAGCUCCAGCUCAUUCCUGCUGUUGUCCAAGAGCACUGGAGAGACUCCAGAGCUUCUCUGAAAACCCUCCUCCGCAGCCAUCCUUAACCAGUGCACACAGCCAUGCACACAGCACCUGGCCAGAGCAGUAGGUGGCUGCAUGGAUUCCCGCUAACCGCAGAUGGGCAUCCCUGGCAGCAGAGCCUCCGAGCUGCUUAUGGAGUGGAGCAGUCUUGAGAUAUUCCAGGAGAGAGCAUUUUUAUAUGCACACGCCUACACCCAGAGCUACUUGGACUGAUCUUCUAACAGAGGGCAGGAGCCUCUCUCUUGCGCACGCACGCGCACACUCGCACAAUGUUGCAACACCUCUCUCUCCUUGAAUAAGAGUGGCACUGACGCUUGCAAAGGACCUCUUCCUUCUGACAGCUCUCUGACUCCUGCUGUUCACAGACUGUAGCACCACUCAUCACAUUGACAAGGCUCUGUGACGCACGCAUUGGGGUGACUUCAAAAAGGAUAGAAAAUACUGAUCUGCAGGGGCUUGCGGUAAUAAGAAGGCCUGUGCCAGAUGGACAUGAGACUGCAUUGGGUCGCCAUAAGCAGCGGUCUUCCACACGCCUUCUACUGCUGGCAUGGGGUCAGGAUGAAAGAUCCCUCCAAACAUACAGGCCUGCCUGCACGCCCCAUUUUUACGCUGCUAAUAACACCAAUGUCUUCACCCCUGAACCACGCAAUUCUUUCUCCUCUAUUGUUCUGCAUUAUUUCCACUGCUGGAGGCACUGAAACUCUCUCCUAGCCUCCCUGAUAAUAUCAUCCAUUGUUCUCACCUACCACUGCUCAUCACUGAGUCAUGCUGCUAUCUGACAGCAAAAGCACAAAGGUCUCAGAGCUAUCAGGUGCACCCAGCCAAUAUCUGGCUGCUUGGUUAGUUAGUAUCUGUGCUUUGUCUUCAGAAAAGUUCGGGGAUGGGGGAAGGGCAGGAAGACAAAUGGAAUUAAUCCUCUGAAUUCAUUAUGCAAAAUCUUGGCAUCCCUCCAGCCUCUCUCUUGCACAAAUGGUCAAUGUUUUUCUUUAAUAGCAUUAAGCAAAAUUACAAAUCACAACGUUGGUUAAUCAAUCUCAAUAGGUUUCUCUGCAUGUAUUUUCUUUUUUUUUUUUUUGGGUGGGGGGGGACCUUUUCUUCUGGAGAUGACUGUAGCAGAUGAUUUUUUUUUUCCUCUCUUUUUUUCCUUCUCUUGCAUUGACAGUAAUUGCUGGAGAUGCGGGUGAUUUUUAUCUGUUCUGAAGUUCUUACAUGGACAGACAAAAUGAUGCAUGUCCAAAACAAGGAGAUAAAGGACUCGGGUGCAGCUGAGCUCCGAACCAAGCCCAACACAAGCAGACGUGGGUCUGGUACAGCUCCUUCACAAGGCUCCAAAGGCUGAGAGAAUGGGAGGCAGCUGAAUCAGGAAAUAACUCCUGGCAUAAGGGAGUUUACUAGAUGAUAUGGGGCCAGUAUUGUGGUUCCCUGGGCAGGAUGUGGAACAGAAGAAAUUCUAGUUGGAAAAGACUUAAGUCACACCAUGUAAUUUAUUCCCCUUGCCCUGAGCAGGAUUGUUCCUUAUAAUACGUUGCGCUGACUACAAUUUAAAGCCGCACAGAAUGUGGCUUCCGUAACAUGUUAUUUUGCAUCGCAAAACCAGCAUGUAAUCUUUGAUCACAAGCAAUCUGUGUUCUGCAGAAGUCCAGUAUGGGCAGAGCAGGAGGAUGCAGCUCAGGCAUGAAGAAGUGCAAUGGCAAGGAUGCCCAAGAGCCUGGAUCUGAAAUAGCAGAGGGCUAUUGCAUGUCUGGACUGAGGGGCAAGAGCCCAGCAUUGGCAUAGUAGGGAUCGUGAGUCAGGAUCGAGUUGUGUUGGCAGUUUGAUGGGAGAAUGGAGGGCAGGGAGGCUGGAAGGCAGAAUCCAUGUGCCCAGGCUGUGUGGGAGCCCCAGACAGGAAGAACAAGGGGUAAUGUGGGGCCCGGUGAGAGUAGAUGACACAUGACAGAUCCAGAGGGAUGGGGUGUGAUUGUAGUGAGAUAUAUCAGCAGAACUGUAUGGAGCAAUCUGAAUGCAUAACCCCUGUCCAAAGCCAACACUAUUAGCCUUGGGCAUGCAAGAAGAUUAACAUGCUGUCGCCACAUGAUUGUGUUACAAGAAUUCAAAGUGGAUCCUGAGCAUUUCCAGCUUGUCUAUUAUUAGAGGCAGAGGGUGACAUGUGCAUACGAGAAAUGGGGUGACACAGUGCUAGACUGGGAUCAUCUGGUUUCUAAAGGGCUUUUGUUGCUUUGUAAAUUCCUACCCAAUUAAAUACCCAUUUAUCUCUCAGGACAGAAGUAUGGGCCAGAUUCAUUCCUCCUGCUGUCCUUAAUGUUGCUAUUUUUAUUGCAGUGUCCUCCAAAACCCAGGGCUGGCUUUAGGAUUUUCACACCAGGGUUGAAUGUGGAUAAGUAGCAUUUCAUAGCAGUAGGAGCCCAUUUGAAAGUAGACAAAACUGAGUGUAAUCAGUUUGAUUCUAGUUUUUAUAUAAAUGUCACUUCUCUUCUAUGAACAUCUGUAUAUAUGUACUCCUAUCUAGUGAUGGUAUAUACAUGGCAUUUAUGUACAUAAGUCUUAAAUGAUGAUGCAUUGCUAUAUCUAUAGCCAAGCGUGUGUGUGUGUAUGAAUACACCCUGCAUAUAAAUAACUUUGUAUACCAUAUUUACAUCUGUGCAGGGACAAAUUAUUGAUUUGUCUGCCUCUGUGGAAUUUGUAGUAUGCCCAUCAGUUCAAUUAUCUAGACAUACACCAGCAUGUUGA